GGAAGUGUGGUGUAGUGGUUUGAAUGUUGGACUACAAGUCUGGAGACCAGGGUUUGAUUCCUGGCUCAACCA
Non-coding RNA from Phrynosoma platyrhinos (Desert horned lizard), 72 nucleotides. Lineage: Eukaryota; Metazoa; Chordata; Lepidosauria; Squamata; Phrynosomatidae. The record is from the annotation of a GenBank genome assembly.